AUGCAGCAGCACUGGGGACAUAUUCCACUUCAACAGAUGAAACCUUUUCUCCCCAUUGUUAGUUACAGGUCUAUGGGAACACUCACUAACCAGGUCCUGCAUGCCCAAGUCAGCAGCAGUCUUCUCCAGGGUGCCAGACUUCCCUGCCCUUUCAUAUACAUAAAUCUCAACACUGACUAGAUGAUGAAGCCAAACAAGGAGAUACCCUGCAGUUCCUAUGAUGACACAUCUCACUGCUGCUGACUCACCUGGUGAUAUAAGACUUUCUGUUGGUAUUUCUAUAAAUGACAAAAAUAAACAUCUGCUAAG
RNAcentral lists this long non-coding RNA (309 nucleotides) under Cyanistes caeruleus (blue tit). RNAcentral describes it as "lncRNA (ENSCCEG00000016747.1)". Lineage: Eukaryota; Metazoa; Chordata; Aves; Passeriformes; Paridae. The record is from RNAcentral.